UAUUGCACAAUGGGCGCAAGCCUGAUGCAGCCAUGCCGCGUGUGUGAAGAAGGCCUUCGGGUUGUAAAGCACUUUCAGUCAGGAGGAAAGGUUAGUAGUUAAUACCUGCUAGCUGUGACGUUACUGACAGAAGAAGCACCGGCUAACUCCGUGCCAGCAGCCGCGGUAAUACGGAGGGUGCGAGCGUUAAUCGGAAUUACUGGGCGUAAAGCGUACGCAGGCGGUUUGUUAAGCGAGAUGUGAAAGCCCCGGGCUCAACCUGGGAACUGCAUUUCGAACUGGCAAACUAGAGUGUGAUAGAGGGUGGUAGAAUUUCAGGUGUAGCGGUGAAAUGCGUAGAGAUCUGAAGGAAUACCGAUGGCGAAGGCAGCCACCUGGGUCAACACUGACGCUCAGACGAAG
This 402-nucleotide ribosomal RNA is filed under the name uncultured bacterium. RNAcentral's name for it is "bacterial SSU rRNA". It matches the Rfam family "Bacterial small subunit ribosomal RNA", at positions 362 to 758 of the family's 1533-position model. The record is from RNAcentral.